UCGUGUGGAUCUAUAGUAAUCUGGAAUGAUUCAUAGUACUUGAAGUAGAGUAUCGAGAAUAUCAAGGUCUCGUUUAUUAUUAAUUAAUAAUCAUCAAUGUUUUCUAUUACUAAUUAAGGAUAGGAUAAGAAUCUAAGUGGAAUGUUUCCAUCCAAAUUAUAAUAAAACCAUCUGGUCGCAAUGUUUUUUGGCGCACGUGGCGCAUUGGUAAUUGAAAUUAUUUCGCAACAAUGAACCACGCAGUUGAAACACAGGAUGUAUAAUUAAAGUUCAAGAUCGAGGUCGAGGUAUUGAUCGAACCUACGCGAAGACUACAAAUUUUCUUCCGAGAAGCUAAGAGGAAAAAAAGAAUUUAUUCGUUCAAAAAUAUCUCUCCCCUAUUGAAAUCUCGAGGAUAUUUUUAUAAAAUUUUCCAUUUUGGGAAAAGUAGAAAAUAAAAAAUGAAAUGAAUUAUGCAAAAAAUAAAAAAAUGGAUGAUAUUCUUUUUAUAAACCACGACCAUUUGUCAGAUAAAUUUUUAUCGGCACGUAAAAACCAUUUCGUCACGCUUGGUCCGUGAUACUGGCUAUGUUUCAUGUUUCGAAAGAAGGCAUCGACGGAUACAUUUGCAUUCAGGAAACCGAGCCGAAUGUUAUACCGUUUGUACGCGUUCCGACUUUGCGCUCUAUUCCAUCGAAGAUGUUGUAAAAGUCUGCCUAACGGAUGAUGGUUCCGGAUUCAAUUUUUUCUUCUUACAAUCAAUAUCGCAACAAUCUUUCCUCUACAUCUUUCAAACGUUCCCUCGACAAUCUUAGAAAGAAAAAAAAAAAAAAAAGAAGAGAGAGAAAGAGAUCCAUUUCGACAAGUAUCCACCGCAACGAUUCAUUCGGGAAUUCAGGUCCGAUUCGAGGUGUGGAACGAGCACAAUGAGCGCACAGGAUAUCGAACAGAGUCGGCCGGCUCGCAGGAAAUUUAUGGUACCCCGCGAGAUCCGCCUUGGCGUGCAAUAAGAUAGCGAGUUUGCGUGUCGACCAGGAGGAUAGAGCGUAGGUGUAAGUUUAUGCCGGUUGUUCCGUGUAGGGUACGGCUCCUCGUUUCCUCCAUAAUUCCAACCGGUCGUGAAACUAUCCUGCAUGCGCCCUAACUGCGCCUAUCUACAUGUGUCCGUGUGCAUCCAGUCCGAGGCGUGUACUUUUCGUUGAAAUAUCUACUACUCGUCGAUAUCUAGCCCCCCUUAGUGGGGCAACCAUGUUAUAAUUUGCGAAACGAAAAUAAUUUUGGGAAAAUAAGAAGAAAAAGGAACACGUCGAUGCUGUUUCCUCCUUUUUCAAUGAGCUUGAAAUACGUUAACGACAUCAUUUUUUAAUUGUAAAUAUACGUAUGUACGUUGAUGAUGAUCGGUCUUAGUUUUUAGAAUUAUAUGCAAAAGUGUUUUUCACUUUUAUAUUAUAGAAUUGUAGAAUCGAUUUAGAUUGAUUGAUUUCAUUUUUAUCUGGCCGAAUCGAUGAAGAAUUUAAAUUAAAAAAAUGAUCGUAAACUGUUAUCUUUCGAUGAAUCGAUGGAUUGUAAUAAACAAAAAUAUAUAAAUCUCAUACUUCAAAUAUACUUCAAGCUCAUCGAAAUCAGUGAAAAAAAAAAAGCUGAUAGUCACGGUGUUCUCUGUAUCAGAUAAGCAACAAGCUUCAAUCGAGCACGAUAAUGUAUCGUGUCCCCGAUUUAUCAUUCGAUUGCGUAUCGUCGAAACAAGAUUUACGAUUCUCCUCGUGCAUUCGUUUUGUAAGGAUUCGGGAUUCUCCGCGACGCAUCAAUUUUGUUCGAUCCUCCUCCGUUGGUCAAUGUUUUCCUCAUUGGAUGGAUCAAAGAGGUUGAUAUACGCCUUCUAAAAGGUUUGUACCGCGGCAGAAUUGUCGACCAUUGAUCGGAAUUGGGUUUCUUCGAUUGUCACGAAGACUUUGGUUGCUUGUGUGGUAGUUUGCCGGAUAAGGGAAGGGGGCUGAUUAAAUUUAACCUACAUUCCCUACACCUGAACCGAAGUAUUUGAUUAGACACGAGCGAACGACCACACGUUUGGCAUCAAUCUCCCGGAUCGAAACGUAACGCGGCGACCAAGAUUAAUUCCGCCAUUUUGGAGAACGAUAAAAUUAAAAAAAAAGUGAUAAAAUUACAACGACCUUGAAAUGACCUUCUUUUCCACUUACAACAAAUUCGAAAAGAAAUUUUUCAUCCCCCUCCCUAUCUGCUCGACGUUAUUGGACACGUUACGACG
Long non-coding RNA from Apis laboriosa (Himalayan honeybee), 2245 nucleotides. RefSeq lists it as uncharacterized. The record is from RefSeq and is a predicted model, not a curated record. The transcript is spliced from 4 exons. NCBI's taxonomy places the organism in Eukaryota, Metazoa, Arthropoda, Insecta, Hymenoptera, Apidae.